Molecule: long non-coding RNA, 405 nt
Filed under: Phoenix dactylifera (date palm)
Lineage: Eukaryota; Viridiplantae; Streptophyta; Magnoliopsida; Arecales; Arecaceae
Description: long non-coding RNA (PDAC_LNC019134)
Source: RNAcentral
UGAGUUGUUACUUUUGCUUUUUUGUUGAAUUUUUGGUAACCUUGUGGAGUUUGCUUUGGGGCAAUGACAAGAUCCCACACUCUGGAAUAUAAAUAAGACCUGGAAACUUAUGUGUUUGAGACCAUGUAUCAUCGUAGACUGUAGCUCGACUGUAUAGCAUGCCAUCGUCAAUUCUGUGGGUGUGAUGGGUGGAUUUGUGAAAUAAAUCACCAAUCCCUCGAUGUGGCAGGGGGAUCAAUUCUUAGUUCGAGGGACAUGCCUAUUUAGGGGAGUUAGGCUCUUAGAUAGAAAUGGAAAUGAAUUACCCUUGCUUGGUUGGAAGAGUCACAUUUUCAUUUCUAUUCCAAAAAAGAAUGUGAAUGCCCCGAUCUUCUAAAAUUUAAUUCCAACUUUCUCCUUACAUUU